GACGAACGCUGGCGGCGUGCCUAACACAUACAAGUCGAACGGAAAGGCCCUGCUUUUGUGGGGUGCUCGAGUGGCGAACGGGUGAGUAACACGUGAGUAACCUGCCCCUGACUUUGGGAUAACUUCAGGAAACUGGGGCUAAUACCGGAUAGGAGCUCCUGCUGCAUGGUGGGGGUUGGAAAGUGUCGGCGGUUGGGGCUGGUCUCGCGGGUUAUCGGCUUGUUUGUGGGGUAGGGGCUUACCAAGCCUUUGACGGGUAGCCGGCCUGGGAGGGGGGCCGGCCACAUGAGGACUGAGAUACGGCCCAGAAUCCAACGGGACGCAACGGUGGAGAAUAUUACACAGUGGGCGGGAGCCAGAUGCAACGACGCCGCGUGCGGGAUGACGGCCUUCGGGUUGUAAACAGCUUUCGCCUGUGACGAGGCGGUAGUGACGGUAAUGAAUAAGGAAGCACCGGCUAACUACGUG
This 468-nucleotide ribosomal RNA is filed under the name uncultured bacterium. RNAcentral describes it as "partial 16S ribosomal RNA". It matches the Rfam family "Bacterial small subunit ribosomal RNA", at positions 28 to 507 of the family's 1533-position model. The record is from RNAcentral.